This 404-nucleotide ribosomal RNA is filed under the name uncultured bacterium. Its description in RNAcentral is "bacterial SSU rRNA". It matches the Rfam family "Bacterial small subunit ribosomal RNA", at positions 29 to 477 of the family's 1533-position model. The record is from RNAcentral.
AACGAACGCUGGCGGCAGGCCUAACACAUGCAAGUCGAACGCUCUAGCAAUAGAGAGUGGCAGACGGGUGAGUAACGCGUGGGAACCUACCUAGUGGUGCGGAAUAGCUCAGGGAAACUUGGGGGUAAUACCGCAUGAGCCCGAAAGGGGAAAGAUUUAUCGCCAUUAGAUGGGCCCGCGUAGGAUUAGCUAGUUGGUGAGGUAAUGGCUCACCAAGGCAACGAUCCUUAGCUGGUUUGAGAGAAUGACCAGCCACACUGGGACUGAGACACGGCCCAGACUCCUACGGGAGGCAGCAGUGGGGAAUCUUGGACAAUGGGCGCAAGCCUGAUCCAGCCAUGCCGCGUGAGUGAAGAAGGCCUUAGGGUUGUAAAGCUCUUUUGCCAGGGACGAUAAUGACGGUA